AAAACUCAAAUCGUCUGCCUUAGCUUUCCUUUCUCGCUUCUAUCUUCUCUCCAAACCCAAAUCGUCUGGCCAAAUAAUAGAAGGAAAAGUCGAACUCUUCUCCCCAAAUGCUUCAAACGUUCGCGAUUUAGGCAAGGCUGGCUGAGAAUCGUGAUUGUGAGAUCCCAAAUCACAAGCCCUAUGUUUUAGUUUAUGUACUAUUUUUGUUUUAGAUUUUUUGUAUUGAUCUUUUCCAUUUCAAUUUGUUACGUCUGUUGUGAAUCGCAAAAGAGUAAUAAUUUUUAGUUCCCGUCAGUAGGACAUAUUUGUGUGGUGGUUUGUUAAGAAUAUCUCAUUGAUUCUGUUUAGAUGCAUUAUAAAUAUGUUAAAGAAGUUGUAUGAUUUUUAUUAGUAUGAUGAAGCUACCUGUUUUGUCAAAGUAACCUUAUUUACUACAGAGGCAGUUUCAACACCCCAAUCUCCACUGAGUCUGAGACAAACAAACUUUAUAAUUAAUAUAGUAGGAAACAUAUCUUCUAUGUUUAGCUUUAUAAUUAAUAUAGUAGGAAACCUCUGCUCUACUACAGAGGCAGUUUCAAUUUUAAUUUAUGUUUGUCACCUACUAUGUUAAACAGAAAACCAACACAUUAUCCUACUACACCUACUAGUAAAAUCUUGUUGAAUAGCUUCACUUGUGAUGCAACACUCAAAUGUUGAAAUGUUUGCAUAAUUUCAUCAUUUAUGUUGGCAACGUAUUAACCUUAAUUAAUUCUCUCUCCCCAGUCAUGAGCACAAAUUCAGCUGGGAGUUCAUCACGCAGUUGCAAAUGUGGAGUUCCUUCACCUGUGAAGAUUUUAUGGACCAAAACAAAUCCCGGGCGACGAUUUGUUGGUUGCACAAAUUAUAAAACAAUACCUUGUAACUCGUUUGAAUGGAUUGAUCCAUCAAGAGCUGGUGGAAAAAAUUGAGGAGAUGACAUUGAAGAAUGAAAGACUGAAG
Molecule: long non-coding RNA, 978 nt
Filed under: Panax ginseng (ginseng)
Lineage: Eukaryota; Viridiplantae; Streptophyta; Magnoliopsida; Apiales; Araliaceae
Description: long non-coding RNA (PGIN_LNC015384)
Source: RNAcentral